GCCCUUAUAGCUCAGUGGUAGAGCGUUGCACUUGUAAUGCAAAGGUCCGUUGUUCAAUCCAGCGUGGGGGCA
Molecule: transfer RNA, 72 nt
Filed under: Cylindrobasidium torrendii FP15055 ss-10
Lineage: Eukaryota; Fungi; Basidiomycota; Agaricomycetes; Agaricales; Physalacriaceae
Description: tRNA-Thr (TGT) (tRNA-Thr-TGT-1-1)
Rfam family: tRNA
About the family: Transfer RNA (tRNA) molecules are approximately 80 nucleotides in length. Their secondary structure includes four short double-helical elements and three loops (D, anti-codon, and T loops).
Source: Rfam by way of RNAcentral